CAGUCGCCACGGUAAUACAGAGGGUGCGAGCGUUAAUCGGAUUUACUGGGCGUAAAGCGUGCGUAGUCGGCUUUUUAAGUCGGAUGUGAAAUCCCUGAGCUUAACUUAGGAAUUGCAUUCGAUACUGGGAAGCUAGAGUAUGGGAGAGGAUGGUAGAAUUCCAGGUGUAGCGGUGAAAUGCGUAGAGAUCUGGAGGAAUACCGAUGGCGAAGGCAGCCAUCUGGCCUAAUACUGACGCUGAGGUACGAAAGCAUGGGGAGCAAACAGGAUUAGAUACCCCAGUAGUCCCUGUCUCUUAUAA
This 301-nucleotide ribosomal RNA is filed under the name uncultured bacterium. Its description in RNAcentral is "partial 16S ribosomal RNA". It matches the Rfam family "Bacterial small subunit ribosomal RNA", at positions 509 to 809 of the family's 1533-position model. The record is from RNAcentral.